Molecule: ribosomal RNA, 497 nt
Filed under: uncultured bacterium
Lineage: Bacteria
Description: partial 16S ribosomal RNA
Rfam family: Bacterial small subunit ribosomal RNA
Source: RNAcentral
GAUGAACGCUGGCGGCGUGCCUAAUACAUGCAAGUCGAGCGAACAGACGAGGAGCUUGCUCCUCUGACGUUAGCGGCGGACGGGUGAGUAACACGUGGAUAACCUACCUAUAAGACUGGGAUAACUUCGGGAAACCGGAGCUAAUACCGGAUAAUAUAUUUAACCGCAUGGUUCAAUAGUGAAAGACGGUUUUGCUGUCAAUUAUAGAUGGAUCCGCGCCGCAUUAGCUAGUUGGUAAGGUAACGGCUUACCAAGGCAACGAUGCGUAGCCGACCUGAGAGGGUGAUCGACCACACUGGAACUGAGACACGGUCCAGACUCCUACGGGAGGCAGCAGUAGGGAAUCUUCCGCAAAGGGCGAAAGCCUGACGGAGCAACGCCGCGUGAGUGAUGAAGGUCUUCGGAUCGUAAAACUCUGUUAUUAGGGAAGAACAAAUGUGUAAGUAACUAUGCACGUCUUGACGGUACCUAAUCAGAAAGCCACGGCUAACUACGUG